This 62-nucleotide transfer RNA is filed under the name Sphaeroderma testaceum. RNAcentral's name for it is "tRNA-Thr". Lineage: Eukaryota; Metazoa; Arthropoda; Insecta; Coleoptera; Chrysomelidae. The record is from RNAcentral.
GUUUUAAUAAUUUAAAUAAAAUAUUGAUUUUGUAAAUCAAAAAUAAGGUUUCUUUUAAAACU